GACAGAGGGUGCUAGCGUUGUUCGGAAUUACUGGGCGUAAAGGGCGCGUAGGCGGGCCGCAUAGUCGAGUGUGAAAGCCCGGGGCUCAACCCCGGAACUGCAUUCGAUACUGGCGGCCUUGAGUACGGAAGAGGAGAGUGGAAUACCCAGUGUAGAGGUGAAAUUCGUAGAUAUUGGGUGGAACACCAGUGGCGAAGGCGGCUCUCUGGUCCGUAACUGACGCUGAGGCGCGAAAGCGUGGGGAGCAAACAGG
Molecule: ribosomal RNA, 253 nt
Filed under: uncultured bacterium
Lineage: Bacteria
Description: partial 16S ribosomal RNA
Rfam family: Bacterial small subunit ribosomal RNA
Source: RNAcentral